Pangasius djambal is the source of this 72-nucleotide non-coding RNA. The record is from the annotation of a GenBank genome assembly. Lineage: Eukaryota; Metazoa; Chordata; Actinopteri; Siluriformes; Pangasiidae.
UGCCUGGCGGAUUAGUGAUUAGACUACAGUGCUCUCACCAAUGCGGCCCGGGUUCGAUUCCCAGUCAGGGAU